This 218-nucleotide unclassified non-coding RNA is filed under the name Basidiomycota sp. RNAcentral's name for it is "partial contains small subunit ribosomal RNA, internal transcribed spacer 1, and 5.8S ribosomal RNA". The stretch from base 1 to 47 matches the Rfam family "Eukaryotic small subunit ribosomal RNA", at positions 1785 to 1831 of the family's 1831-position model. Lineage: Eukaryota; Fungi; Basidiomycota. The record is from RNAcentral.
AAAGUCGUAACAAGGUUUCCGUAGGUGAACCUGCGGAAGGAUCAUUAACAAAUCUCUUAUGGAGCAAUCCAUAUAUACAUUGUGCAUCCUUUGUAAUGAUGAAUGAAAUAUUUUUUCAUUACAAUGUUGCCAGACCAGUCGGUCUGACAUGAACUAAUUUUAUUGUCUAAAAAUCUUUAUAAUCAAUACAACUUUUAACAAUGGAUCUCUAGGCUCUU